GGUAGCAUGGCCGAAAGGUCCAAGGCGCGAUUAAGGCUCCAGUCUCUUUGGGGGCAGGGUUCAAUCCUCUGCUGCCA
Non-coding RNA from Gymnothorax javanicus (giant moray), 77 nucleotides. The record is from the annotation of a GenBank genome assembly. NCBI's taxonomy places the organism in Eukaryota, Metazoa, Chordata, Actinopteri, Anguilliformes, Muraenidae.